This 32-nucleotide non-coding RNA is filed under the name Geobacter sulfurreducens KN400. The record is from RNAcentral. Lineage: Bacteria; Pseudomonadati; Thermodesulfobacteriota; Desulfuromonadia; Geobacterales; Geobacteraceae.
UGCGCCUCACCGAUGGCACCCGCGUUGACUGC